GCAAGUCGAGGGGCAGCGGGAUUGAAGCUUGCUUCAAUUGCCGGCGACCGGCGCACGGGUGAGUAACGCGUAUCCAACCUUCCGUACACUCAGGGAUAGCCUUUCGAAAGAAAGAUUAAUACCUGAUGGUAUGAUGAGAUUGCAUGAUAGCAUCAUUAAAGAUUUAUCGGUGUACGAUGGGGAUGCGUUCCAUUAGGUAGUAGGCGGGGUAACGGCCCACCUAGCCAACGAUGGAUAGGGGUUCUGAGAGGAAGGUCCCCCACAUUGGAACUGAGACACGGUCCAAACUCCUACGGGAGGCAGCAGUGAGGAAUAUUGGUCAAUGGACGUGAGUCUGAACCAGCCAAGUAGCGUGAAGGAUGAAGGUCUUACGGAUUGUAAACUUCUUUUAUAAGGGAAUAAAACCUCCCACGUGUGGGAGCUUGUAUGUACCUUAUGAAUAAGCAUCGGCUAACUCCGUGCCAGCAGCCGCGGUAAUACGGAGGAUGCGAGCGUUAUCCGGAUUUAUUGGGUUUAAAGGGAGCGCAGACGGGUCGUUAAGUCAGCUGUGAAAGUUUGGGGCUCAACCUUAAAAUUGCAGUUGAUACUGGCGUCCUUGAGUGCGGUUGAGGUGUGCGGAAUUCGUGGUGUAGCGGUGAAAUGCUUAGAUAUCACGAAGAACUCCGAUUGCGAAGGCAGCACACUAAGCCGUAACUGACGUUCAUGCUCGAAAGUGUGGGUAUCAAACAGGAUUAGAUACCCUGGUAGUCCACACGGUAAACGAUGGAUACUCGCUGUUGGCGAUAUACGGUCAGCGGCUUAGCGAAAGCGUUAAGUAUCCCACCUGGGGAGUACGCCGGCAACG
Molecule: ribosomal RNA, 844 nt
Filed under: uncultured bacterium
Lineage: Bacteria
Description: bacterial SSU rRNA
Rfam family: Bacterial small subunit ribosomal RNA
Source: RNAcentral